Molecule: transfer RNA, 86 nt
Filed under: Anaerosporomusa subterranea
Lineage: Bacteria; Bacillati; Bacillota; Negativicutes; Acetonemataceae
Also listed under: 1 other name
Description: tRNA-Leu
Rfam family: tRNA
About the family: Transfer RNA (tRNA) molecules are approximately 80 nucleotides in length. Their secondary structure includes four short double-helical elements and three loops (D, anti-codon, and T loops).
Source: RNAcentral
GCGGUCGUGGCGGAACGGCAGACGCGCUAGCCUCAGGAGCUAGUAGGGGCAACCCUGUGGUGGUUCAAAUCCACUCGGCCGCACCA